CAGUAGCCGCGGUAAUACAGAGGGUGCGAGCGUUAAUCGGAUUUACUGGGCGUAAAGCGUGCGUAGGCGGCUAAUUGAGUCGGAUGUGAAAUCCCCGAGCUUAACUUGGGAAUUGCAUUCGAUACUGGUUAGCUAGAGUGUGGGAGAGGAUGGUAGAAUUCCAGGUGUAGCGGUGAAAUGCGUAGAGAUCUGGAGGAAUACCGAUGGCGAAGGCAGCCAUCUGGCCUAACACUGACGCUGAGGUACGAAAGCAUGGGGAGCAAACAGGAUUAGAGACCCGUGUAGUCCCUGUCUCUUAUAA
Molecule: ribosomal RNA, 301 nt
Filed under: uncultured bacterium
Lineage: Bacteria
Description: partial 16S ribosomal RNA
Rfam family: Bacterial small subunit ribosomal RNA
Source: RNAcentral